AAAAAAAAAAAGAAGCCAGCUAUGAUCCAACGAAACUGGAAUUUUCUGCAGAAUUAAACAUGAAAACAAUAAAAUGUUUAAGGAAUAAUUUUCAUGUCUCUCAAUCUUCCCACCCACAUCCGAAUACUCUUGAAUGUAUCAGCAAACCCAGAAAAACCAAAUUCACGACUCUUAUUCAUGCUACAAACAUGUUGAAGCUUCAAAUGCAACACCAUAUUGGUAGCAUCAAAGCAAGUA
RNAcentral lists this unclassified non-coding RNA (237 nucleotides) under Hevea brasiliensis (rubber tree). The record is from RNAcentral. Lineage: Eukaryota; Viridiplantae; Streptophyta; Magnoliopsida; Malpighiales; Euphorbiaceae.